GCUGUAUCGAUUGUUGAGAUCUGGCGACUUGUUUAAAUUUCAUCAGCCUCACUUCUAUGAACUCUCAGGCCUCACGUGUACCAGCUCUCUGCUCUCCUUUGCCUUGGGACGUUCCAUCCCUGGAAGUUUCCCUGCCCACAUCUUUGUAGAGAGUCCAUUCUCCAAGCUUCAGUGUGUCAUCUGUGAGGACCGUGACCCACCUGGUACAUCGCCUCAGGGCAUUCAUUUCAGGCUCCUUCUAAAUGGCCAAGAGACAACACCAACAUUUUUGUAAUGGCCUGCAAGGCCUUCCGAGAUCUACCUCCUGCAACUCAGCUUCUCCUGUGCUCUCCUUCUGGACUCACUCUGCCUCAGCAACACUGGUCCCUGUUGCCCCACCAAUAUGCCAGGCACCCUUGGAAAUGCAAUGCUACAUCUCAAUGGGAUUUUCCAGUACAAAGAUUCUUUUCAAAUAACAUAAUUGUGGAUACACACCACUCCUACAGUGGUAAACCUCAGGUUCUCCUCCUGCCUUUUGCUAAGUAUAUGUCUUGAUGACAAGCCUUCUGCUGAUGAGCUGUGUUUCUGGACCGAUCAUGGUAGAAGUCAAUUAACGUGUCCCUCACUUGGGGUUUCUCAAGGCUGCACUGAUGAGGAAACUGAAACAGAAAAUCCAGAGUAAAUUCCACCAGGCCACACAGCAAGGUCUGAUAGAGCCAGGAGAGACUUUAUGAAAUCCAGACUCUCACACUAAUGCUCUAUCAGCUAGACCUCCAUGUGAGUCUCCCCAAUGUAGGUAGGAAGUGCUUUCCC
RNAcentral lists this long non-coding RNA (792 nucleotides) under Homo sapiens (human). RNAcentral's name for it is "testis expressed 41". The record is from RNAcentral. Lineage: Eukaryota; Metazoa; Chordata; Mammalia; Primates; Hominidae.